UACGUAGGGUGCAAGCGUUAAUCGGAUUCACUGGGUUUAAAGGGUGCGUAGGCGGACAUGUAAGUCCGUGGUGAAAUCUCCGAGCUUAACUCGGAAACUGCCAUGGAUACUAUAUGUCUUGAAUGUUGUGGAGGUUAGCGGAAUAUGUCAUGUAGCGGUGAAAUGCAUAGAUAUGACAUAGAACACCAAUUGCGAAGGCAGCUGGCUACACAAAUAUUGACGCUGAGGCACGAAAGCGUGGGGAUCAAACAGC
This 253-nucleotide ribosomal RNA is filed under the name uncultured bacterium. Its description in RNAcentral is "partial 16S ribosomal RNA". It matches the Rfam family "Bacterial small subunit ribosomal RNA", at positions 524 to 776 of the family's 1533-position model. The record is from RNAcentral.